GUUCAUUUUAAAAUAAGAAUUUGAAAUUCUUAUAAGGAAAUUAACAAUAAUAUUUUCAAUGAAUU
This 65-nucleotide transfer RNA is filed under the name Partulina redfieldi. Its description in RNAcentral is "tRNA-Ser". Lineage: Eukaryota; Metazoa; Mollusca; Gastropoda; Stylommatophora; Achatinellidae. The record is from RNAcentral.